Molecule: unclassified non-coding RNA, 201 nt
Filed under: Hevea brasiliensis (rubber tree)
Lineage: Eukaryota; Viridiplantae; Streptophyta; Magnoliopsida; Malpighiales; Euphorbiaceae
Source: RNAcentral
AUAAUUUCAGAAACUAAAAAUACCCGCGCAAAAGGCGAGUAAAUGUCUAGUUUGAUUAAUUCUACAUACAAAAUACCAAGCAGGAAUCAUCCAACAUCAUCUGAGUACCAACACACAAAACUUUAAACUUUCAUGAGCCUAUGACCAACCCAAAAUAUAUACAAGAACAUAUACCAGUGCCAGUGAGAAGGGAUAGAGGAG